CGCGCGCAGGCGGUUUCUUAGUCUGAUGUGAAAGCCCCCGGCUCAACCGGGGAGGGUCAUUGGAAACUGGGGAACUUGAGUGCAGAAGAGGAGAGUGGAAUUCCACGUGUAGCGGUGAAAUGCGUAGAGAUGUGGAGGAACACCAGUGGCGAAGGCGACUCUCUGGUCUGUAACUGACGCUGAGGCGCGA
This 190-nucleotide ribosomal RNA is filed under the name Bacillus licheniformis. RNAcentral's name for it is "partial 16S ribosomal RNA". It matches the Rfam family "Bacterial small subunit ribosomal RNA", at positions 567 to 756 of the family's 1533-position model. The record is from RNAcentral. Lineage: Bacteria; Bacillati; Bacillota; Bacilli; Caryophanales; Bacillaceae.